UAGGGAAUCUUCCGCAAUGGACGCAAGUCUGACGGAGCAACGCCGCGUGAGUGAAGAAGGAUUUCGGUUCGUAAAACUCUGUUGUUAGAGAAGAACAGCGCAUAGAGUAACUGUUAUGCGUGUGACGGUAUCUAACCAGAAAGCCACGGCUAACUACGUGCCAGCAGCCGCGGUAAUACGUAGGUGGCAAGCGUUGUCCGGAUUUAUUGGGCGUAAAGCGAGCGCAGGCGGUCAAUUAAGUCUGAUGUGAAAGCCCCCGGCUCAACCGGGGAGGGUCAUUGGAAACUGGUUGACUUGAGUGCAGAAGAGGAGAGUGGAAUUCCAUGUGUAGCGGUGAAAUGCGUAGAUAUAUGGAGGAACACCAGUGGCGAAGGCGACUCUCUGGUCAGUAACUGACGCUGAGGCUCGAAAGCGUGGGUAGCAAACAGGA
RNAcentral lists this ribosomal RNA (430 nucleotides) under Bacteroidota bacterium. RNAcentral describes it as "Bacteroidetes bacterium partial 16S ribosomal RNA". It matches the Rfam family "Bacterial small subunit ribosomal RNA", at positions 355 to 777 of the family's 1533-position model. Lineage: Bacteria; Pseudomonadati; Bacteroidota. The record is from RNAcentral.